UACGUAGGGUGCAAGCGUUGUCCGGAAUUAUUGGGCGUAAAGAGCUCGUAGGCGGUCUGUCGCGUCGGCUGUGAAAACCCGGGGCUCAACCCCGGGCCUGCAGUCGAUACGGGCAGACUAGAGUGUGGUAGGGGAGACUGGAAUUCCUGGUGUAGCGGUGAAAUGCGCAGAUAUCAGGAGGAACACCGGUGGCGAAGGCGGUUCUCUGGGCCUUACCUGACGCUGAGGAGCGAAAGCGUGGGGAGCGAACAGG
This 253-nucleotide ribosomal RNA is filed under the name uncultured bacterium. RNAcentral's name for it is "partial 16S ribosomal RNA". It matches the Rfam family "Bacterial small subunit ribosomal RNA", at positions 524 to 776 of the family's 1533-position model. The record is from RNAcentral.